GCCCUGCCUGCCUGCCUGCCGGCGCCGCUGCCCGAGGCUCACAGACCCUCCGGAGCCGGAAUGGAAAUGAGUGUUUACACGUCAAAACGACGACAGCCAUCCUGACGUCAAGUGUACCUGGCCCCCGAGCCGGGGGGAGACAUCACCAUGAGAGUGGAUGUGCUUCUGGGCAUCUCCAUGGACCCACAGGGAUCAGGGGACUGUAAUCACUGCCACUGCUCUGCCAGCUGUGAGAGUAGGAGCCUCAAAUAACAGGGAUAUGAACGGAUCCACGAGAGGGGUAAAGGGAGCCAGCACUGCAAAGCAAUUGGAGGACGGCGUAAAAGAGGCCAUAUGUGCAGGCAAUCACAGAGGAUAAGGGGGAACACCUGUUUUUCCAUCAAUUACAGCCUGCGAGCUCGCGGGGCAUAUUUAUUCUGGGGGCAUUACAUUUGCCUGGGUAAUAGCGCAUGACACAUUUCCAGCUUUACAGCAGACGAGCCCUGGGAAGGAGCUAUUCGUGUCUGUACAAAUGAAACACAAACAUGCCCUCCCGGCCAUACACGUGGUUAAAACAGCGGCCCUAAUGACACCGGGAGCCACCCGGGGCCAGCAGGAAGCAGCUUGUGGCCACCGGGGUGGCUCUGUUUGCUCUGCUGGCUGAAGCCAACCCGAGCAAAAAGCCCUGGGAAAAUGCAUAGGUGGGGUUGUAGGAGAGGUGUAUGCCCUGGGGGAAAUGGUAAUAAUCUCUCUAUUUGGUAAGGACAAAGUCCAACUCAAGCGUUUUCCUGAUGGCAAUUGAAAAAAAUUGUUAUUGGGGUUUAAAUAUAUAUAUGUAUAUAUAUAUAUAUAUAUAUAUAUAUAUAUGUAUAUAUAUAUAUAUAAAAUUUUUUUUUUAAAGCUUGAUAAAAGAAGUGAGCAAAAAAAGGAAACAUUUUAAGGAAUUAUUAUAUCACCUGUAUCUGCCAAGCCGACGUUUUAAUUUAAAUUUAAAUUUAAAUUUCUUCAUACUCGUGUUACACUCGCAAUAAUAUUUUAUUCAUGGUAAUGGUUUUAUUGUCCUUGCUUGCGAGCUCUCCAAUAAAUCCCUAUAGAAGGAUGAAUAAAUUCAUAAAUCUGCUGUUGAUUUAUUUUAAUAAGAGCAUAAUUAAUAUUUAGCCUUGUUGAGAACGUUUCUGAGAAUUCAAAAUUACUGUUUUAGUUACAUGUUUAUUUUUUUAAGGGGGUGGUUUUGUAUGAGUAUUUUUAGAAGACUAAGUACAUUGAUUAAUUAUUUUAAAUGGCUCUUAUGCUGUGUUCUUCCUCGUCAUGUUCCAUUUCAAGUAGGAUGAAACAGAAGAGACCGGAAAGAACAAAGAGCAUGAAUACAUGAGAGAAGAGAAAAAAUAUAUGGAAAAACAGAUUAAACCCCAUUCAGAGCUAUAUAAAAAGCUGCGUUUAAAAAAUAUCUUAUCAUUUUCUCUCUCUUUCCCUUUUUUUUUUUUUUUAAGUAAUGAGUGGGUAACAAAAAAUGACAAUAAAUGAUUAUUUUAGGUUAAAAUUUCAAGAAAGCUUUCUUGUUGAGGAAAGGGUUGUCUUGCUGAAGAAAACUGGGAGAAACUAAGUGUUCCUUACCAAA
This is a long non-coding RNA of Passer domesticus (house sparrow), 1597 nucleotides long. RefSeq lists it as uncharacterized. NCBI's taxonomy places the organism in Eukaryota, Metazoa, Chordata, Aves, Passeriformes, Passeridae. The record is from RefSeq and is a predicted model, not a curated record. The transcript has 3 exons.